RNAcentral lists this transfer RNA (64 nucleotides) under Phanerotoma flava. RNAcentral's name for it is "tRNA-Thr". The record is from RNAcentral. Lineage: Eukaryota; Metazoa; Arthropoda; Insecta; Hymenoptera; Braconidae.
AGUUAAAUAGUUUAUAAUAAAAUAUUAAUUUUGUAAAUUAAAGAUAUUAAAAAAAUUUUAACUU